GAUGAACGCUGGCGGCGUGCCUAAUACAUGCAAGUCGAGCGAACAGACGCGGAGCUUGCUCCUCUGACGUUAGCGGCGGACGGAAGAGGAACAUAAGGAUCACCUACCUAUAAGACUAGGAUAGCUUCGGGAAACCGGUGCUAAUACCGGAUCAUAUAUUGAACCGCAUGGUUCAAUAGUGACAGCCGGUUUUGCUGUCACCUCUAGAUGGAUCCGCGCCGCAUUAGCUAGUUGGUAAGGUAACGGCUUAGCAAGGCGACGAUGCGUGGCCGACCUGCGAAGGUGAUGCGGCACAGUGGGGCUGAGACGCGGUCCAGACUCCUACGGGAGGCAGCAGUAGGGAAGCGUCGGCGAAGGGCGGAAGCUUGACGGAGCGACGCCGGCUGAGUGAUGAAGGGCCGCGGAUCGGAUAACGCUGUUAUUAGUGAAGAACGAUUUUGUAAGUAACUAAGCACGUCUUGACGGUACCUAAUCAGAAAGCCACGGCUAACUACGUG
This 497-nucleotide ribosomal RNA is filed under the name uncultured bacterium. Its description in RNAcentral is "partial 16S ribosomal RNA". It matches the Rfam family "Bacterial small subunit ribosomal RNA", at positions 28 to 507 of the family's 1533-position model. The record is from RNAcentral.